Long non-coding RNA from Dama dama (fallow deer), 2119 nucleotides. RefSeq lists it as uncharacterized. The record is from RefSeq and is a predicted model, not a curated record. The transcript is spliced from 4 exons. Lineage: Eukaryota; Metazoa; Chordata; Mammalia; Artiodactyla; Cervidae.
CUUUUUCCUGAGCUGGUUGGGCAAGUGAGAGUGUCAGGAGAGGAAACAAAAAACUUAUUUCAUCUCUUUUUUUUCCACUGAAACAAUUACUCAAAGUCUCAGAUCCUCUUUAGAUAAAAUGCUGAUGUGCAGAGACCAGAUGCCAACCCAAGUUUCAGAAGCCGGCGUAAUAAACCUGAAGUCUCCAGCUCUCUGAGUGCGGUGCUUGGUUUCUUGAGCACUGGUUUCUGAAACAUUUCUGGAAGCCCCAGCGAGAUUCCAACCAUGCUGGCCCCUUGAGCCACAGGACUGGUGGCUCAGCAGAGGAGCCCCAAGAUGAACGAGGAGGCACACCACCUGACGGUAUUCUGGGUUCUCUUUUGGAUCGGCAUUCUGACUCUCCGGAGGACUAAGCCCCGACCAGACUCACUGGAGGACCCAACCAACUCACCAGGAUUGGCCACAGGAAAAGGGAGAUCCAGUGGAAGACCCACUACUGCCCCCGCCAUAUGUUACCCUGACUCCACAAGCCCUGGCACAGCCAGCGCCAGACUCAUUGCCAGACAGUCCACCCCCGCCCCCCCCCCACCGUGUCCCCUGCACCACCUCAUGAGCAAGACUCCAGCCCCGAGCCAGUAGGGAAGUCGCUCUGCUCAGCUAAACAAUCUAACCAGCUCGCCACAGCCCAUCAGAUGCCACUGCAAGAAACUCAAGGUCCUCAACAAGUGAACAAGGACAGCUCAGUCCAGCCUGGUCGUUCCAUCCUCUAUUACCAGCCCUUCAGGACUACUGAUCUCCUAAACUGGAAACAGUGUAACCCAGUAUACUCUGAUAAACCAUAGCCUAUGACUAACCUCCUAGAGUCCACUUUCCACACCCAUCAGCCUACGUGGGACAUCUGUCACCAGCUCCUUAUGUCUCUCUUCACUGAGGAAAGGUGAUGCAUCUUGACAGAAGCCCCAAAAUGGCUCUGAGGACAAGCCCCACAGAGGUCUUAGAUGUGGAAGAAUGGGCACCAGAAGCGAUGCCAGAGACGAGACCUGGGCUUCACUGGGAUGAAUGCCACACAGCUCCUGGAGGUAGCAAAGUCUUCAUGAACUGAGACCAUGAAGCCCAACAAGAAACAGAUGAGAAGAUGAAACCGAAAGCGGCCCUGCUAGCAGCGGCACUGAGGAGCUCAGAUCCAGUGAGGCAGACCGUUCCCACAUGGAAAGGGGAAGCUGAGCAGAGACCACCACUAUGCUACGAUGAGUGGGCCCACUGCAAGGAGACCGGGCCCUGGAGAGAUGAGUGCCCCCACCGCAGAGGGACAUCUUAAGGGUCAAAGAGGUUCAGUCAACCCAACAAAGAAACCUCGCUGUCCAGAACCUCAUCGACCUGGCUGGAGCAGAAUCAGACCAGGGAAGACAGGGCUCCCUGAUCCUGGGCCCCUGGGAGCCCAUGGUCACGAUGAAAGUAGGGGGCCAAUCAACGACUUUUAUGGUGGAUACUGGAGCUGAACACUCCGUGGUAACCACAGCUGUGGCUCCCCUCACAGGCUGAACAGCAACCAUUGUUGGGGCCACGGGGGACAUGGCAGCCUGCUCACUUUGCAAGGCCUGUUCCUGUCAGCUGGGGAGCCAUCUGGUGACUUCUGAAUUUAGGUUCUUACCAGAAUGCCCCAUUACCUGCUGGGUAGAGACUUACUGACAAAACUGGGGGCACAAAUCGCCCUUGCCCCCAGAAAGCCUGUGAGCCUCACCCUGGGGAGCCAGUCAGCUCUGAUGAUGGCCGUGCCCAUGCCCAGGGAAGGUGAAUGGCUUAUCUAUUCCACAGGGAGGUAACAAAUAAAUCCCCCCAGCCUGCUAAUUAAUUCCCUGAUGUCUGGGCAGAGAAGGGACCCCCAGGUUCGGCCAAAAACCAUGCCCCCAUUGUCGUGGACCUGAGGCCAGGAGCCACUCCUGUUGGACAGAAACAAUAUCCAGUACCACGGGAGGCACACCUGGGAAUUCCGGACCACAUCUAGCACCUACAAGAUGCUGAGAUCCUAAUACCAGAUCCUAAUGCCAGUCUCCCUGGAACACUCCGCUCUUGCCAAUCAAAAAGUCUGGAGGGAGGUUGGAUGCAUGAGAAAAGUGCUCGGGGCUGGUGCACUGGGAUG